CUCCAUUCACACUCCAUUCACACCUAGUUUUCGAAUGCUGUAGAAGGCUCAUCCCUCCAACUCUUCGCCCUGCACCCCGCCGCCCACAGCCACCGCAGUCUCUGCCACCACUGCAGCCACGCAGCCCCCGCAUCAGUCCUCGCAGCUCCCCGUAACCCCCACAGUCUCGCAGCCCCUAAGCGGCGCAGCCACCGCAGACCCUACACAGACACAGCCUCCACUGCCAUCGUAGAAGAUCCGUUGCCAUCGGAUUCUGAGCUUCUUUUCGUUCCAGAUCAAUGCUUUCUUUGUCAGAUUCCCUUCGCGCAGCUGGUAUCGAUGCCUUGAUCUACGGCGGCAACAAAUGAGCCUCAACAUAUUGCUGCGACAUAAAGUUGUUAAACUCAUUCGGAGAUAUCUAGAAAACAUCCACGGUUUUGUUGAGUGUUGAUCUUUACCCUUUUCUAGUCAUAAGGUAGAUUGAAACUCCAAUACUGUCUAAAUCCACGCCAGAAGGUGCCUGGGAUUAUUUAGUUCCUUCAAGAACCCAGGGUUAAUUCUGGUUUGGUCAAGCCUGGUGAUGUUGGAAGCUUGUCAGAGUUUGCAGCUAGGUUGCCUCAAUUAAGAGCCGUUGUUCUGCAUAGUCCCAUACUUUCUGGCUUAAGGGUCAUGUAUCCGGUCAAGCACACAUGCUGGUUCGACAUAUAUAAGAAUAUCGACAAAAUUCCAUUAGUUAAUUGUCCUGUUCUUAUAAUCCAUACUAGUAGAUCAUUAUAUGGUGCCUUAAUUGGUUCUGUUUUGGCCUUCAAUGUUGCUGACUACUUAGGUAGAAGAAGGGAGUUGGUUUCAACGGCAUUGUUAUAUCUUGUCGGAGCACUCGUAAUAGCACUAGCUCCAAAUCUUUCUAUAUUGGUGAUAGGGAGAUUUGUUUAUGGUAUAGGAAUUGGAUUGGUACAAGCACAACUAGUUUGAGGCUAACGAUCCUUAUUAAAAAUGUGUUCAUGGAAUGAAAAUGCACCUGCAAUGCAAGACCUUGUUAAUCUGACAUGGGUGUAAAGGCAUGAGACUUGUACCAUAUCCAGUCACCAAUGGAGGUGAUUAAAUGAGCAGCUCCUACCACCUAAUCAUCCUGCUAUUGUUGUGCCUAGGCUUCUUGCUGGUUUGACUUUGCCUAGCCCAUUACCAAUUGAAACUGGGAAUGGAAAGGAGAGAGGUAUACUUUAUUUUGGAUAAUGCUACUACUUAGCAAGCAUUUAGCUACUAUGUGGAGUCAGGAGAUGUCAAAAUUAACUUUUAAUAUGGAGCUUGAUGCUGCCAAUGCAACUUAAUUAUCUAUUAAUAUUUUAGAUUAGUCUAUCUUUAAGUGCUAAGUGUAAUUUGUGACAUUCAUGUAACAUUGGGAUGAUCAUCUUAUUCUUUUUGGGUAUCUUUUUAUUAAGACAAUGAGAUAUUAGCCAAUGAUGUUGAAAAAUAACAUCCAAUUUUAUAGGUAUCAUGCAAUGAAUAUUAUGUUUAUUUA
Molecule: RNA transcript, 1498 nt
Organism: Arachis duranensis
Lineage: Eukaryota; Viridiplantae; Streptophyta; Magnoliopsida; Fabales; Fabaceae
Exons: 13
Source: RefSeq, a predicted model, not a curated record